AUUGCCUUGAGCCAUUCAUUUAAUCCAGGGUGAUCAACCUCCAGCCCAAGAGAAGGGAGAAGAAAAGAUGGGGUCAUCUAAUGGACUGUGAGACUGGAAUCAUCAAUGGCAGCAGCAGCAACACUAUGGGGGCUCCGCAAGACAAAUCAAAAUGUCUUUCCCUUGUGAUUUCAAGUGCUCAGGUUGUGCCUAGAGGGAACAGCUACACCUCAACAGUGAUUGCU
RNAcentral lists this long non-coding RNA (224 nucleotides) under Mus spicilegus (steppe mouse). Its description in RNAcentral is "lncRNA (ENSMSIG00000026634.1)". Lineage: Eukaryota; Metazoa; Chordata; Mammalia; Rodentia; Muridae. The record is from RNAcentral.